Long non-coding RNA from Exaiptasia diaphana, 192 nucleotides. RefSeq lists it as uncharacterized. Lineage: Eukaryota; Metazoa; Cnidaria; Anthozoa; Actiniaria; Aiptasiidae. The transcript is spliced from 3 exons. The record is from RefSeq and is a predicted model, not a curated record.
UUGACAGACUAAAAACAUUGCAAAAGACGAAGAUAAGGAUUCGUUUUUCGACUGCCUUGUUUACGACCUUCAAGCUGACUAUCUCGCUGCACAUGGAUAUGAAUUUCCAUUUACAGAUUGCAGGAAGAUGGACUUGCUGAUGAAGGAAACAGAGGGAAGCCAUCAAUUAAUCGGACACAUCGCUAGCCAAGU